CUGCUGAAGUAAAGUAUGGUCAGGGUUUCAUGAAAACUCCAGGAAGGAGAUUCUGCCUCUUUCAGGAGGAAAAGAUAUCAGUGUUGUUAAGAUUUGAGUCAGUAUUUUUAAAAAUUAGAAAAUUGGCCUGACCGCUAAGGGCAUAAACAUGGAUUCAGCAAGUAACUCAGGAUCAUUCUGGAAGAAAAACACCCGGUUGGCCUUUGACCCACUGUGCCAAAUUAUUUCAUCUACUGAUAAAACCUAGAGAUUUGAGGACCCUGGCUAUCAGGCAGCUCUUCAGUGGAGAGAGAGUAGAGGGCUUUGCUGGUGUCCUCAGAGCACAGAGGUUGGGCUGUGAGCACACUGAGGGCUUGGCCCUGGUGAGAGAUUCGUUUUUGAGUGUGUAGUAGUAAAUGAAAGUGGAGUCUGGCUGCUCACCACUCAAAAGUCAACAAAGAGGCAAGAUUGGUGGAAAGGAAAGUUUGCUUUAUUUCAGAUGCUAGCAUGGGGAUGGGGGGCAGACUCCUGUCCAAAAGCUGACUCCCUUCACACUUUGUCAGUCAGCAAGAGCUUUUAUAGAUGGGGAGAGGGGGCGACAUGCAGAAAUAGCACAGUCAGCUCAGAUAGUCAUCUUGAAAUUCGUCAUCGGUGGUCCAACAAGCAUCACCUUGAUUGUUAUUGCUGGAAGGAGGACCUGUGACAAAUUCAAAGAACCAUCAAGGAUAUCCUGGACACAGGUAGGGGCAAUGACCCCCUUGUUCCCCUCUCAGGACUGGGAAGCAGGGACUUUUGGUGAGCUUAUAAUGCAGACAGCCUGAGAGGGGCAGUUCUUUUUAUUGCUGCCACCUAUGAGGUAAGAUGUGACCAAGUGUGCCGCCUGUUUCAGAUCCCUUGGUGUGGGUAGGUGGAGAGUGGACUGAUUCGGCUAUGGGGAAAGAAACAUGGGAUCAGCUUUAGGCAGCUUCGGAAAAGACCUAAAGGGAUCCUGCAUGUUCUGAUAUGAUCCAGAC
Molecule: long non-coding RNA, 992 nt
Filed under: Capra hircus (goat)
Lineage: Eukaryota; Metazoa; Chordata; Mammalia; Artiodactyla; Bovidae
Description: lncRNA (ENSCHIG00000000717.1)
Source: RNAcentral